AUGGAGGAUGCAAAUUCGGAGCCAACAGUUAUGCCACUCGAUUUAUUACGAGAGAUUACGGAUGGUUUCUCCGAGGAGCGGAAGCUUGGUAGCGGUUCAUAUGGAAAGGUGUACUUGGGAGUGCAUCAAAACGGGGAAAAGAUUGCUGUGAAGGUGCUCUAUGAUAUGCCUGGAGUUGACGAUAAACACUUUCAGAACGAGUUUAAAAAUCUUACAAGGCUCCAGCACCCAAACAUUGUGCGCUUAGUAGGCUAUUGCCAUGAUAUUCAGGAAGUACAAGUAAUGCAUGAAGGGAAAUUGGUUCUUGCUGAAAAGACACAUAGGGCGCUCUGCUUGGAGUAUAUGUCUAAUGGAAGCCUUGAAAAGUAUCUUUCUGAUGAAUGUGAUAGAUAUGAUUGGCAGAAAGGCUAUCAAAUAAUUAAGGGGAUUUGCCAGGGUUUAAAUUACCUACCCAAUGAAUUAAAACCUCCUAUGUAUCAUUUUGAUUUAAAGCCAGCCAAUAUAUUGCUGGAUGAGAACAUGGUUCCCAGAAUUGCAGAUUUUGGGAUAUCAAGGCUCUUCAAAGAUGAACAGACACGAGCUACAAAAAGUACUUUAGGAACAAUUGGGUACUUACCGCCGGAAUACAUUAAAAAAAUUUGA
RNAcentral lists this ribosomal RNA (642 nucleotides) under Triticum aestivum (bread wheat). RNAcentral's name for it is "partial small subunit ribosomal RNA". The record is from RNAcentral. Lineage: Eukaryota; Viridiplantae; Streptophyta; Magnoliopsida; Poales; Poaceae.